Molecule: ribosomal RNA, 206 nt
Filed under: uncultured bacterium
Lineage: Bacteria
Description: partial 16S ribosomal RNA
Rfam family: Bacterial small subunit ribosomal RNA
Source: RNAcentral
CGCGUAGGCGGGCCAGACAGUCUGUGGUGAAAGCCUCCAGCUUAACUGGAGAAGUGCCGUGGAUACUGCUGGCCUCGAGGAGGGUAGGGGCAUCUGGAACGGUCGGUGGAGCGGUGAAAUGCGUUGAUAUCGACCGGAACUCCGGUGGCGAAGGCGAGGUGCUGGACCCUUUCUGACGCUGAGGCGCGAAAGCCAGGGAGCAAACG